GAACUGUUGGUUGGAAACUUAGAAGAGAUGUUAUUAGUAAUAGAAAUUUGAGGUGAAAGAAUGGGCGUUGAUGAACAACGAAAAUGACCAGAACCACCCCUGGGAGAGGAAAAGGAAAGAGGGUAUAAUAGUAAUUGUGAGAAAAGAAAAAGAGGAUUUGGGAGCUUCCUUCUCUGGCCCUCAACUGGUCGUUAGUCCAGCGCCUUGAAAUCGGAUGGGCAGUACGAAAUUAUUCCCUCACGUCCUUUCCUUCCACCAGCUCCCAUGUCUGCUGCUCCACACAAAACUGCAUUUCUUCACACUUCGACAUUCACUCACCCUGUUCUUGCAGCGCCAAAUGCCAGCCAUGUGAUGCAAUUUUGCAACACCUCUUUCGUACAUUCUUGUUUUCUCUCUAUAAUUUUACGGUUUCUUUGCUUGUUUCUCCUUUGUCCAUUCUUGUUCGUCCAUUUCUUCGCUUUAAUUAUUUCUCCUUCCUCCUCCUCCUUCUCCUCAAUUCUAUUAUGGUAUCCUCGGAUUUGACUCUUCGUCGUAUCUCUCUAACUCUGAACUGAUCUCUUCUCCUUUCUUCUGGUUCAUUAUUGCUCUUGAUGCUUUCAGAUUCAACUAUGGCUCAGCAGAAAGAUGGAUGGCCAUUAGGCUUGCGGCUUAUGAAUGAUAGAAUGGCGGAAAAUCAUGAUCUCUCUGCGUCGGUUUCUUUCAAUACUUUGCGUACUCAUUCUCCCAGUUCCUUCACCGACUCUUCCUCAGAUCUUGAUACAGAGGUCACUUACUUCCAUUUGCUCUUUUUCUUCUGUUUUUCUUUUGUUUGUGUUGCUGUUUGUGCGUUAGCAUUAUGCUUGGUGUGUGCUGAGGAAGACUUGGAUAAUGGUUUAUUAUUUUGUUCAAUUAUGCAAAUACAUUACACUGGGUCGCGUCACAAUUAGGAGCAUGACUGCUUUUCUUUGUCUUAUUUUUUUGAAGGGACUGAGUUGAAGUAGUUACAGCCUACCUUCUUUCAAAAUGCGUAUACAUUUUCUUGAGAGCUCUAGGCUAUAGCUAGCAUAGGCAUAGGAUGUGUUAGUGUCUACGAUUCGAGUCCUACUCUUUGUACCCAAAAAUAAAGCUAUAUGAAGUAGGCCUUGUUUGAAUCUUUGUAAUGACUUUACUUGUGUUUUUCAAGUGCAAAUAAAGUAUUUUUGAGUAUUUACAAAGUCAAUCUAAACAGUCAUUAAUUUGAAUUGAAACUAAACAGUAAACUGUAAAAUUUCACUCCAAAAGUUUCUGGGUUUUUAGGCACUCUCACUGUCACUCAUCACUUUUCCUUCUUGUCCUCGCUCUCACUUUUUGCUCUAGCUUCUUAUUUGUCCCUCUUCCUCCCCUAUCCCAACAAGGAUUCAAUAGGAGUGCUGCCAUAAAAGGAGAGAGGGGAAAAGAGCAAGAACAAGAGGGUAAUUAAGAAUAUCAAAAAAGUCAACUGCAUCAUUCUACCACGACAAGAGCAUCACGCUCGGAAGUCUCAUUGGAGUCUCAAGCAUUUUCGAGCUAUCACAAAGAUCAACGGAAGGCAACAAGGUGGAAAUACUCGAAGACAAAAAGAAGUACAAGUCCAAGCCAUGGUUAUUUUCUUUAUCUUUAUGCAUUAAACUCCGCCCUGAUGCUGUGAGCUUGAGCAGCUCUCCUUCACUUGAGCACUCUCUUGAAGCAGAAAGAAAAACUACACGAAAUCACAGGAUUCACAACCCGACCCUUUAUGGACCCAAUGAUUACUCACCUAUUCGUCCUGUUUCUGAAACAAAUGCUUUGUUUUCCAGUGAACAAGUUGCUCCUGUGUCAUUCGCACUGGCGGGCAAAGAAGAAAGCAGAAGAUCAGAUGGAGAACUUGUUCAAGGUGGUAACAGUCAAGGGAUUCCUCUACUCUUUUCAUGUCUAUAUUGCCAACUGAUUAAAUAAUUCUUUCUUUGAUUCGUAGCUUCAUGGAAAAAUGAUGCAUGUCAAAUGUUAUAUGGUCAUUUGUUUCAUCCUACCAUUUCAUUUGUAGGGAGACUUACUUACCAUAAUCAUCGUUGAGCCAUUGUGUUUGGAUCAGACAAAUCAAGGCAUUCAUUGCUGCUAAGUUAGUGAACCACUUUUGAUUGAUCCAUAAAAUCAUAACCGUUAAGUGGUAACCA
Molecule: non-coding RNA, 2150 nt
Organism: Benincasa hispida (wax gourd)
Lineage: Eukaryota; Viridiplantae; Streptophyta; Magnoliopsida; Cucurbitales; Cucurbitaceae
Source: RefSeq, a predicted model, not a curated record